GAGUUUGAUUCUGGCUCAGGAUGAACGCUAGCGAUAGGCUUAACACAUGCAAGUCGAGGGGCAGCGAGGGUAGCAAUACCUGUCGGCGACCGGCGCACGGGUGAGUAACGCGUAUGUAACCUGCCCGCAACAGGGGGAUAACCCGGCGAAAGUCGGACUAAUACCGCAUAAAACAGGGGUCCCGCAUGGGAAUAUUUGUUAAAGAUUUAUCGGUUGCGGAUGGGCAUGCGUACCAUUAGGUAGUUGGUGAGGUAACGGCUCACCAAGCCUUCGAUGGUUAGGGGUUCUGAGAGGAAGGUCCCCCACACUGGUACUGAGACACGGACCAGACUCCUACGGGAGGCAGCAGUGAGGAAUAUUGGUCAAUGGGCGAGAGCCUGAACCAGCCAAGUCGCGUGAAGGAUGACUGCCCUAGUGGGUUGUAAACUUCUUUUACAAGGGAAUAAAAUGAGAUAGCGUGUAUUUUAUUG
RNAcentral lists this ribosomal RNA (470 nucleotides) under Tannerella forsythia. RNAcentral describes it as "bacterial SSU rRNA". It matches the Rfam family "Bacterial small subunit ribosomal RNA", at positions 9 to 471 of the family's 1533-position model. Lineage: Bacteria; Pseudomonadati; Bacteroidota; Bacteroidia; Bacteroidales; Tannerellaceae. The record is from RNAcentral.